Molecule: long non-coding RNA, 2483 nt
Organism: Bubalus bubalis (water buffalo)
Lineage: Eukaryota; Metazoa; Chordata; Mammalia; Artiodactyla; Bovidae
Exons: 3
Source: RefSeq, a predicted model, not a curated record
CCUGGUGUUACACAGAAAAUUCCCACUGACUGUCUAAUUUCACAUAUGGUAGUGUAUAUGUUUCAAUGCUACUCUCUCACAGACAGAGGACAGAAUUGUGGAAAGAGUCGGGGAAGGAGAAGGUGGGAUGAAUUGAGAGAGCGUGGCAUCACUAGCCAUUCUGACCUGAUCGGGAGCUGCAGACACCUAGGCGCCUUUGGAAAAGUUAACAGAAGCUGCCAGGGGACCUGUCUGUGGGUCUUCUUGGUUAAGAACCUAAUUUAGUUCAUCAGAAUUGACUGGUUUCAUAAUCCACACUCUUUUCUUGAACUAAAUAAAUUAGGGACAGGAUGUAGGGCAUUUAUGAUAGCCCCUGAAAUUUGUUUUUUUAGCACAUAUCAAGAGGCGAUCAAUCCAUAAAUAGAGAGGGAAUGAACAAAAUGAAUUCUCUGCGCAUGGCUGUCGAUUUCCUGGUAGAAUUCCUCUAGCAUCUCCAGGAAAUGUCGCCCUUACUUGUGUGUGUGUCUGCCAGGCCUGCCAGUUCUGAGUCAGCCACGGGAGGGGUUGGUCUCAGACGCGCUCACCAUAUGACAUGUCAGGCAGAUCAAAGCAGGGAUUUCAGGAAGGACUACAAGGGGAAAUGGUUAGUAAUUAAUAAAAGGAUGUGGAAUUGGUCAUGUUGACUGAAAGAGCCCAGAACCUUGGCGAAAGUUUUCCAGAGGCUGCCAAGAUAAAAAGAGUGGCCGCACUGAGUUAUAUUGGGGGUGAAGAUUUUAGGUGUUAAUGCCUUUGAGCGAGGGGAGCUGAGAAAGACGUUGACUCUCACCCAGGCCACGGGCUCACCUAUUAUGAGAGCCUCUUCAGCUCCAGCCACAGUUUUGGUUUGUUUUGAAAUGGAGGUUUUAGGUGCCGUAAGGGACCUGCAAAAACUUGAUAAUGAUGUUUAAUUUUGAGAGUCAAGCUGUGGUUUCUCAUUUGGCUUCUCAUGGUUUCUGGCUUCUCAUGGCUUCACGUCAAUGUGUUUUGUUUCCAGACUGAAGAUCAAAGAAACUUUUUCCCUUGCACUUGCUGACUUUUCCCCCUUGUGUUGGGUCUAAUGCACGGAUGAAACUAAAUAACCCCCUCCCCUGGAAUAUGUAUGUAUCUCCUGGCUCCUCCACCAUGGCUGUGGCCACUGAACACUUUUUGGUAGCUUGGUGUUGAGGAGUAGAAUGUGGGAAGGGAGGUGACACAGAUAAUGGGUGUUGGGAGAAAGCAUAUUAGAGGUGACUCCCAUCUCACUAAGGGGACUUGGCAAGUUUUGCCUAACCAGGUUAAGACCCGAGAGUGUUAGAAGGUCUGGAUGCUGCUGCUGCUGCUGUGUGUGUGUAUUCUUGGGAGUUGGCAAACAAAGCAUGGAACCUCCAAGUAAAUUUCCCACUGAUUGCUUGGGAGACUUGUGAGCUUAUAAAUGGCCUCAUUGUGUUUUUAAGCCAUUAUCCCAAGGGAGUGGGAUAUUUUCAAUAUUCAUAAAUAUCUCAGGCUGUGAUGUCCCUUUAAGAGUGGAGUCUAUGGAUCUUAACCAAGUGACAGUGUGGUUUCUUAACUUCUGGAUGAUUCCCCCAUCCCUUCUUCUUUGCCCUCCCUCAGUCCUCUUCCAGCUCCUGAAAGUGAAAGUGUUAGUCGUUUAGUCCUGUCUGACUCUUUUUGAUGCCAUGGACUGUAGCCCACCAGGCUCCGCUGUCCAUGGGAUUCUCCAGGCAAGAAUACUAGAAUGGGAUGCCAUGUUCUUCUCCAGAGGAUCUUCCCGACCCACGGAUUGAACCUGGGUCUUCUGCAAAGUAGGCAGAUUCUUUACCAUCUAAGCCACCUGGGAAGCCCUGCCAACCCCCAAAUAGAUCUAUGCUGUGGAUGGCCUGGUUACUCUCUGACUCAAACUGCCCGUUUGGGCCCAGAAGCCUAUCUGAGAGACCCCUGCUGUGGAGAGGAGGGAGUACAGCUCUCUGUUCCAGGAGGCAGAUACUUCACCAAAUGAGGCACCAGGGAAGCCCUUAUUGAUAGGAAGCACCACCAGACUGGGUUGAAAGAGACAAAAUAAAGCUCCAACUUGUACGGGUAGGAAGUAGGCUGAGAAAGCUACAGCAUCGAUGGAGUGUUCUUACGGAAAACAAAGGAUGUUACAGGAAGAGACGACAGUCCAGAGGGUGCAGCCAACAUCCACCAGAGAGUCCAGGGCCCUAGAAAGAAACUUCGCCAUCUGUACAGCUGGAGCACAGAAUUGCUUUGCAACUGUGCUGAUGCAGCCUCUUGUUUCUCCCUUUUUUGAACAGGAGUGUCUACUGUGGUUAUUCUGUGCUCGUCCCACCAAUGUGUGUGGAGUACGUGUCUGCAUGUAGGGUUGAAAAUAACUAGCCUCUAUCAGUUCAGUUCAGUUGCUCAGUUGCUCAGUUGUGUCUGACUCAUUGCAACUCCAUGGACUGCAGCAUGCUAGGCUUCCCUGUCCAUCACCAAGUCCCAGAGCUUGC